This 75-nucleotide transfer RNA is filed under the name Candidatus Woesearchaeota archaeon. RNAcentral's name for it is "tRNA-Ile". It matches the Rfam family "tRNA". Rfam says of the family: Transfer RNA (tRNA) molecules are approximately 80 nucleotides in length. Their secondary structure includes four short double-helical elements and three loops (D, anti-codon, and T loops). Lineage: Archaea; Nanobdellati; Candidatus Woesearchaeota. The record is from RNAcentral.
GGGCCCAUAGCUUAGCCUGGCUGGAGCACCGGUCUUAUAAGCCGGGGGUCAGGGGUUCAAAUCCCCUUGGGCCCA